AAGAGCUCCUACCUCCUCUGUUCUUUUAAUCUCCUGCUGCGGGUGGCAGACAUGGGAGAGACAGGCAAGCUGCAAAGGGAAGUCGACGAAAUAAAAUUAAAGCCCUACAAUCGUGUUCGUGUCAAUGUAGAUGGGGUGCCCCCCUCGGUUUGCUCACAGAGGUGGGUGUGAGAUCCUACAGGACGGUCUGGAAGACAUCCCAUGGAAGGCACUUUAUUUUGCCCAGAAGCUGGAGGAAAAGCAGAAGGGCGCUGAACACUGACUAAGAGGAGAGAGCGCACAUUACAUGGAGACCAUGGUCCCCAUACCAGAAACAUGAGAGUAGAGAGAAGCAAAGCCAGCAUCGUGGAGCCAGUCCCUUUAUCCAGGAUCUUGGAGGGAUACAGUCUUCUGUAGAAAUUAAAUAAAGACUGAAUUCUUCAAUGGGUAUUUUGAGAAGAGAGCCACUGUAAGCUUAUACACUGUGAAUUGCAAAAUGUUACUGCCUCUGGGUGGACAGGUUUUAAAAAGACUUUUUUUUUUCCUCCUGGCAUGGCUGACAGAGGGAAGGCUGGGUUUCAAUCCCAUCUUUCCCUUCCCUUGCCCAGUGCUUCUUUAUGUGCACAACCUGCACAACUAUAUGUGGUUUGCAAACACGCAUAAGCAAAGACUAACAGCUUCUGAAACAAACUCUGAAUAAAAGAGGGAGCAUAUUAAGGCAGAUGGCAGAGGAGGUGAGCAGCAUGGGCAGAUAGAAGCAUCACAGAGACUACAAGAAGAAUGUGCCAGACCGGCUCAUAGUGGCCACACUGAUUAAGAAUUACCAUCAGCUCUUUAGGAUUUGGAAACUUGGAAACACAUUGUGUGUUCUUCCUGGUUUGUUAUAGAGUAUGUGUAUGUACUUCUUUCUCUUAAAAAUAUUUAUUUUUAAAGAAUUGACUUAUAAAAUUAUAUGUAUUUGUCAUGUAUAACACAAUAUUUUGAAGUACAGUCCUGUGUCAUAAGGAUAUGUUCUGAGAAAUCCAUCAAUUUUGUCAUUGUAUAAACAUGAUAGAGUGUAUUUACACAAACCUAGGUGGUAUAAACUACUACACACCUAGGCUACAUAAUGUAGCCUAUUGCUCCUAGGCUAUAAACCUGUAUAACAUGCUACUGUACUAAAUACUAUAGACAAUAGUCACAUACUGGUGAGUAUUUGCGUAUCAAAACAUAUCUAAAUAUAGAAAAGAUGCAGUAAAAAUAUGGUAUUACAAUCUUAUGAGACCACUAUAGUAUAUGAGGUCCAUCAUUGAUUAAAACAUAGUUAUAUGGUGCAUGACUGUAUAUAUGCAUUGUGGAAUGGUUAAAUCUAGCUAACUAACAAAUGUGUUAUAUCACAUAGUUAUUAUUUUUGAGGUGAGAAUACAAUAUUCACUCUCUUAGCAUUUUUUAAGAAUACAGUAUAUUAACUAUAGUCACCAUGCUGAAUGGUAGAUCUCUGGAACUAAUUUCUCCUAUCUAAGUGUGAUUAUGUACCCUUUGACCAACAUCUUUCUAACCCCACCCCACAAACACCCCAUAAUAAAGCCUCUUGUAACCACCA
RNAcentral lists this long non-coding RNA (1561 nucleotides) under Homo sapiens (human). RNAcentral describes it as "non-protein coding lnc-RWDD3-5:7". The record is from RNAcentral. Lineage: Eukaryota; Metazoa; Chordata; Mammalia; Primates; Hominidae.